Molecule: ribosomal RNA, 468 nt
Filed under: uncultured bacterium
Lineage: Bacteria
Description: partial 16S ribosomal RNA
Rfam family: Bacterial small subunit ribosomal RNA
Source: RNAcentral
GACGAACGCUGGCGGCGUGCUUAACACAUGCAAGUCGAACGGAAAGGCCCUGCUUUUGUGGGGUGCUCGAGUGGCGAACGGGUGAGUAACACGUGAGUAACCUGCCCUUGACUUUGGGAUAACUUCAGGAAACUGGGGCUAAUACCGUAUAGGAGCUCCUGCUGCAUGGUGGGGGUUGGAAAGUUUCGGCGGUUGGGGAUGGACUCGCGGCUUAUCAGCUUGUUGGUGGGGUAGUGGCUUACCAAGGCUUUGACGGGUAGCCGGCCUGUGAGGGUGACCGGCCACAUUGGGACUGAGAUACGGCCCAGACUCCUACGGGAGGCAGCAGUGGGGAAUAUUGCACAAUGGGCGGAAGCCUGAUGCAGCAACGCCGCGUGCGGGAUGACGGCCUUCGGGUUGUAAACCGCUUUCGCCUGUGACGAAGCGUGAGUGACGGUAAUGGGUAAAGAAGCACCGGCUAACUACGUG